This 484-nucleotide ribosomal RNA is filed under the name uncultured bacterium. Its description in RNAcentral is "partial 16S ribosomal RNA". It matches the Rfam family "Bacterial small subunit ribosomal RNA", at positions 30 to 507 of the family's 1533-position model. The record is from RNAcentral.
AUUGAACGCUGGCGGCAGGCCUAACACAUGCAAGUCGAGCGGCUGCAGGGAGCUUGCUCCUUGGUUCAGCGGCGGACGGGUGAGUAAUGCCUAGGAAUAUGCCUGCUAGUGGGGGAUAACGUCCGGCAACGGGCGCUAUUACAGCAUACGCCCUGAGGGAGAGAGAGGGGGAUCUUCGGACCUCACGCUAUCAGAUGUGCCUAGGUCGGAUUAGCUAGUUGGUGGGGUAAAGGCCUACCAAGGCGACGAUCCGUAACUGGUCUGAGAGGAUGAUCAGUCACACUGGAACUGAGACACGGUCCAGACUCCUACGGGAGGCAGCAGUGGGGAAUAUUGGACAAUGGGCGAAAGCCUGAUCCAGCCAUGCCGCGUGUGUGAAGAAGGUCUUCGGAUUGUAAAGCACUUUAAGUUGGGAAGAAGGGCAGUAAGUUAAUACCGUGCUGUUUUGACGUUACCAGCAGAAUAAGCACCGGCUAACUUCGUG